Molecule: long non-coding RNA, 240 nt
Filed under: Carica papaya (papaya)
Lineage: Eukaryota; Viridiplantae; Streptophyta; Magnoliopsida; Brassicales; Caricaceae
Description: long non-coding RNA (CPAP_LNC009317)
Source: RNAcentral
UCCGCGUAUGAGAUGAUGCGCUGACAACCCGCCUGCACGCGACAAGACGCAUGCAGGUCCUGACCCUGGGUUGUUCUUGCGAAUGGGACGUGCACACUGUGUGCACGUCCCGUGCGUGCGUGCGCACUGUGUGACAUCCCGUGCAUGCGUGCGUGCGGACGAGAUGUGUGUGCUAUGCGCACAGUGCCCAGCUUCCGCGCGAGCAACCUGACUCCCCAUGGGUUUUUCUUCCUGAUUUGC